GAGUUUGAUCAUGGCUCAGAGUGAACGCUGGCGGCGUGCCUAAUACAUGCAAGUCGAACGGAGAUUAAAGUAAGCUUGCUUAUUUUAAUCUUAGUGGCGCACGGGUGAGUAAUGUAUAGCUAAUCUGCCCUACACUAGAGGACAACAGUUGGAAACGACUGCUAAUACUCUAUACUCCUUCUUUACAUAAGUUAAGUCGGGAAAGUUUUUCGGUGUAGGAUGAGGCUAUAUCGUAUCAGCUAGUUGGUGAGGUAAAGGCUCACCAAGGCUAUGACGCGUAACUGGUCUGAGAGGAUGAUCAGUCACACUGGAACUGAGACACGGUCCAGACUCCUACGGGAGGCAGCAGUAGGGAAUAUUGCUCAAUGGGGGAAACCCUGAAGCAGCAACGCCGCGUGGAGGAUGACACUUUUCGGAGCGUAAACUCCUUUUCUUGGGAAAGAAUUAUGACG
RNAcentral lists this ribosomal RNA (452 nucleotides) under Campylobacter sp. canine oral taxon 011. RNAcentral's name for it is "bacterial SSU rRNA". It matches the Rfam family "Bacterial small subunit ribosomal RNA", at positions 9 to 457 of the family's 1533-position model. Lineage: Bacteria; Pseudomonadati; Campylobacterota; Epsilonproteobacteria; Campylobacterales; Campylobacteraceae. The record is from RNAcentral.